This is a long non-coding RNA of Trachymyrmex cornetzi, 185 nucleotides long. RefSeq lists it as uncharacterized. Lineage: Eukaryota; Metazoa; Arthropoda; Insecta; Hymenoptera; Formicidae. The record is from RefSeq and is a predicted model, not a curated record. The transcript is spliced from 3 exons.
CUCCUUCUGUCCUCGAGGGGAUCCUAAACCAACAGGAAUUACCGACAAUUGCAGAUUGCCAAUUUCUCCGAAUUGCCUUUAUAGAUCACCAAAUUCUUUUACACAAUAAAAGUACGCACAAAAAAAAACAGCGACCACUAAAUUUGACGAGAAGAUCGGAGAAAAAAUUAAAAAUUCAUUUUAUU